UACGGGGGGGCAAGCGUUGUUCGGAAUUAUUGGGCGUAAAGCGUGUGUAGGCGGUCUAUCGCGUCUUUGAUGAAAUCUCCCGGCUCAACCGGGAACCCGUCAAAGAUACGGAUAGACUAGAAUAUGGCAGGGGCUGAUGGAACUUAGCAUGAAGCAGUGGAAUGCGUUGAUAUGCUAAGGAACACCGAUGGCGAAGGCAGUCAGCUGGGCCAUUAUUGACGCUGAGGAGCGAAAGCAUGGGGAGCGAACAGG
Molecule: ribosomal RNA, 252 nt
Filed under: uncultured bacterium
Lineage: Bacteria
Description: partial 16S ribosomal RNA
Rfam family: Bacterial small subunit ribosomal RNA
Source: RNAcentral